This 66-nucleotide transfer RNA is filed under the name Scirpophaga incertulas. RNAcentral's name for it is "tRNA-Ile". The record is from RNAcentral. Lineage: Eukaryota; Metazoa; Arthropoda; Insecta; Lepidoptera; Crambidae.
AAUAAAGUGCCUGAUAAAAGGAUUAUUCUGAUAGGAUAAAUUAUAUAACUCACGUUAUCUUUAUUA